UGGCCAUAUUAUGUUUAAACAUAGAUUUCCAUAUGAUCACCAAAGUUAAGCCACAUUGAGCCUGGUCAGUACCUAGAUAGGUGACCAUUUGGAAAUACCAUGUGCGGUAAG
Molecule: non-coding RNA, 111 nt
Organism: Acanthosepion pharaonis
Lineage: Eukaryota; Metazoa; Mollusca; Cephalopoda; Sepiida; Sepiidae
Source: the annotation of a GenBank genome assembly